CCUACGGGUGGCUGCAGUGGGGGAUAUUGCACAAUGGGGGGAACCCUGAUGCAGCGACGCCGCGUGGGUGAAGAAGCGCCUCGGCGUGUAAAGCUCUGUCAGUAGGGAAGUAAAGGACGGUACUUGAAGAAUAAGACCCGGCGAAUAACGUGCCAGCAGCCGCGGCAAUACGUAGGGGGCAGGCGUGAUCCGGCUUUACUGGGCGUAAUGGGAGCGCAGGCGGCACGGCAAGCCAGAUGUGAAAGGCGGCGGCCCAACCGCGGGACUGCAUUGGACACGACCGGGCUGGAGUGCAGGAGAGGUAGGCGGAAUGCCUGGUGUAGCGGUGAAAUGCGUAGAUAUUAGGAGGAACACCAGUGGCGAAGGCGGCCUACUGGACGGUGACUGACGCUGAGGCUCGAAAGCGUGGGGAGCAAACAGGAUUAGAUACCCUUGUAGUC
RNAcentral lists this ribosomal RNA (440 nucleotides) under uncultured bacterium. RNAcentral describes it as "partial 16S ribosomal RNA". It matches the Rfam family "Bacterial small subunit ribosomal RNA", at positions 338 to 795 of the family's 1533-position model. The record is from RNAcentral.